AAACACCCCACCCCAUUCUUUUUUAAAAUAUUGUUAGUCUUAAUUGGUGAGCCAAGGGGGACCCACCCCUGAUUUCUGUCCCCAGCCUCCCAUCUCUCUCUUCCUUUUUCUUCGUCUCUCUCCCCCGUAACUCUCCCUUAACUCUCUCCCUCUCAGCUAUCCCGUACCUCUCUCCCUCAACCUCUCGCAUCUCUCUCUUCCCCUGGACUCACUAGGACCGAGUCACCAUCGAAGAGAGGCUCGCAACGAACCCCAGACCCUGCCCUGCGAGUUCGACGACACGGAGUAAGCUCCGGCGAGCACCGCCCCUUUCGAGGCCAUUUCCGGCCAAACCACAGCGAUUUGGCCGGCGUGCAAGUUUCCGGCGAGUCCGACGGCUUUCGAGGCGUUUUCCGGCCAAACCACGGCGAGUUAGAUGUCGUGUGAGGAUUUAGGAUCGAGGCGUACAAUCCCGACAAUCCAGGCAUUUCCGCAUCGGUAUCUUCGAGUCCUCUCGGUGUAGGACCCAUUCUGUGUUCAUUUCAAUUUUUAUAUUAAUUCUUUUAAUGUUCUAGAUUAGAUGUGUGCUCUGAACACGUUCCUUAAAUGCAUAU
This 593-nucleotide small RNA is filed under the name Malus domestica (apple). Its description in RNAcentral is "sRNA MD03G0017000". Lineage: Eukaryota; Viridiplantae; Streptophyta; Magnoliopsida; Rosales; Rosaceae. The record is from RNAcentral.